Molecule: long non-coding RNA, 1215 nt
Organism: Ostrea edulis (European flat oyster)
Lineage: Eukaryota; Metazoa; Mollusca; Bivalvia; Ostreida; Ostreidae
Exons: 2
Source: RefSeq, a predicted model, not a curated record
CCAAUGAAAAUGCGUUUUUCAACUACACUUUGUGUGUUGUUAAAAUAAAAAUAGCUGUAACUAGUGAGUUACACUGUUAUAUAUGUAAAUCACUUAAAAUCAAUUAACUUUUUUUCGUAUGCAAAGCCCCAUUGCACAGUUUACACACCACCAUGUUGUAUGGAGACUAUGAAAAUCUGAUUUUAAAAAUGGAAGCGUUUUAAAGAAAUAACUAAUUGUUUUCACAUUCCUUCGUCGUACACGUGUUCUGAUGUAACACGCUCUCUGCAGGGGACUUGGCCUGCAUCCAAUCAUACAAUGUGUGCUGGAAAUUGUUGUCACGAAAAUCCUGCUAACGCAGCCAAGAGUUGUAGAGAAGCGGAGCGGAUCGUAAACCCUUGGCUAGCGAAGAUGAUGCUGACGAUGAAUUAUCCAACAUGUAUAUCAUUAUUCAAAGAAUUUUUACGUUUCCUGUGAUAUGGAGGGUCGUGGAGCUUUCAUAUGAUAGUAUAAGAUGCGCUUGUAUUUCUUGCAUCUGUAUAUAAAAAAAAAAAGUGAUUGAAUCGUUUUGUGUGCAGUUGAAUGUGGCGUAUCCCGGAUUCAUUUGGUGCAUGGAGUUGGAAAGUUGAUAUCCACUUGAUAAAGGGAUGAGACCAGAGCUGCUCAUCAUGCUUUGCCAACAGCUGUAAUAUUGCCAGGAAAUUACCUUUAUUUGAGGAAUCACUUGUGGUAUCAUCUCUGUGUCCUCGGAGAGGAAUAUUUUGUUUCCCACAAAGAAUGAUCGCAUCUACUAUUUUCUCAAGCAACUUUAUGUUGUGCUGAUACUGUGCCUGAUUUUGCUGAUUGAGUUUAUACGGAAGAGACGAAGAUGUCACUUCGGAUGUCAUCUUGGUUGUGUGAUAAACAGAUUUAGCACUCUUGCGGUGUUCUGAAUUUUGAUGCUUUAAAAGGGCAGAUGUUUUUCCAAGGGUUUUCUUAUACGCAGUAAAAGGUGGCGUAACAAAUGUAUUUUGAUGUUCGACAUCUGACUGAGGGAACAUGACACAAAACUUACACAUACCGCCAUUUAACAGUUUGCUGAAGGUUAACCAUGAAAACUGAUUCUUCCAAGAAGAUUGAAAUGAUAAAGUCUUUUUGAGUUCACCCGUAUUCGUUGUUUGAGCACGACCUGUUUUUAACUUGGCGACAUCGUCUGGCAAGGGUUGAUUCUGAAUAUAACUUAUCUUUUCAGCUGAG